This 253-nucleotide ribosomal RNA is filed under the name uncultured bacterium. RNAcentral's name for it is "partial 16S ribosomal RNA". It matches the Rfam family "Bacterial small subunit ribosomal RNA", at positions 524 to 776 of the family's 1533-position model. The record is from RNAcentral.
UACGUAGGGGGCGAGCGUUGUCCGGAGUUACUGGGCGUAAAGGGCACGCAGGCGGUGCGGCGCGUUUCGCGUGACAGCGGAGGGCUUAACUCUCCGAGGAUGCGAAAGACGGCGGCACUUGAGGGCCAAAGAGGGACACGGAAUUCCGGGUGGAGUGGUGAAAUGCGUAGAGAUCCGGAGGAACACCGAAGGCGAAGGCAGUGUCCUGGCUGGUGACUGACGCUGAGGUGCGAAAGCUAGGGGAGCGAACGGG